AUACGUAGGGUGCAAGCGUUAAUCGGAAUUACUGGGCGUAAAGCGUGCGCAGGCGGUUUUGUAAGACAGAGGGGAAAUCCCCGGGCUCAACCUGGGAACUGCCUUUGUGACUGCAAGGCUAGAGUACGGCAGAGGGGGAUGGAAUUCCGCGUGUAGCAGUGAAAUGCGUAGAUAUGCGGAGGAACACCGAUGGCGAAGGCAAACCCCUGGGCCUGUACUGACGCUCAUGCCCGAAAGCGUGGGGAGCAAACAGGAUUAGAUACCCUGGUAGUCCACGCCCUAAACGAUGUCAACUGGUUGUUGGGUCUUCAUUGACUCAGUAACGAAGCUAACGCGUGAAGUUGACCGCCUGGGGAGUACGGCCGCAAGGUUGAAACUCAAAUGAAUUGGCGGGG
RNAcentral lists this ribosomal RNA (395 nucleotides) under uncultured bacterium. RNAcentral describes it as "partial 16S ribosomal RNA". It matches the Rfam family "Bacterial small subunit ribosomal RNA", at positions 523 to 918 of the family's 1533-position model. The record is from RNAcentral.